Molecule: non-coding RNA, 1766 nt
Organism: Acyrthosiphon pisum (pea aphid)
Lineage: Eukaryota; Metazoa; Arthropoda; Insecta; Hemiptera; Aphididae
Source: Rfam
CGACCUCAGAUCAGGCGGGACUACCCGCCGGAUUUAAGCAUAUUAAUAAGCGGAGGAAAAGAAAACAACCGUGAUUCCCUUAGUAGCGGCGAGCGAACCGGGAAAAGCCCAUCGCCGAAUCUCGCCGCGCACUUUUGUGUCGCGGCACGUAUGAGAGUUGUGGCGUACGGGCCGGCCUCGUUGCCGGGGCGCACGUGACGGUCCAAGUCUCCCUUGAACGGGGCCAUGGCCCGCAGAUGGUGCCAGGCCAGUAGAGGCCGUCACAGCGUUUCCGGGAUCGGACCGCGCCUUCGAGUCGGGUUGCUUGAGAGUGCAGCCCGAAGCGGGUGGUAAACUCCAUCUAAGGCUAAAUACGGCCACGAGACCGAUAGUUUACAAGUACCGUGAGGGAAAGUUGAAAAGAACUUUGAAGAGAGAGUUCAUAAGAACGUGAAACCGCUCGGUUGUAAACGGACAGAGCUCGCGAAUCCCCGCCGGGCGAAUUCACGGUCGGUCUAACCGCCGGCCGGAUCUUUCGCUCGGUUAGCGGACGUCGCGACCCGUUGGGCGCCGGCCGAAUGGCCCGGGUGACGUUCGUCGCGUCGGUCGCGUUUCGGCGUGACCGUUCGCGCCGAGCCCCGGUGCUCAUGGUCGGCUCGCCCGACGGCAAGAACCGUCGACGCGGCCCCGUCGCAGGCGGGGUCCCGUCGGUCGGCGACGUGUUUCGAGCUACUUUCCGACCCGUCUUGAAACACGGACCAAGGAGUCUAACGUGUGCGCGAGUCAACGGUGAUCUUACGAAAAACCACGUUUGGCGCAAUGAAAGUGAACCGUUUACGGUGCGGACGAUGGCCUAGCGACCGAACCCACCGGCGUUCAAAGUCGCGCUGGUCCGCAGUCCGGGGGCGUCUCCGCCAAGUCGGCUUCGGCCGGCUGGGGGCGCACCCUUAGCGCACACGUUGGUACCCGAAAGAUGGUGAACUAUGCCUGGCCAGGAUGAAGUCAGGGGAAACCCUGAUGGAGGUCCGCAGCGAUUCUGACGUGCAAAUCGAUCGUCUGAGCUGGGUAUAGGGGCGAAAGACUAAUCGAACCAUCUAGUAGCUGGUUCCAUCCGAAGUUUCCCUCAGGAUAGCUGGCGCCGAUGUGUCCCGCCCGUUCGCGGGCGUACGGACGCCGGUGGGACUCCGCGCUGUACGGCGCGGUAACAACACGCUCGUAACACGGAGGAUGUCUCAUACGGUAAAGCGAAUGAUUAGAGGACAUUGGGGCCGAAACGACCUCAACCUAUUCUCAAACUAUAAAUGAGUGAGAUCGCCGGCUUUACCUGGUACACCGCGUGAACCGCGUGCGAAGCCGGCGACGGAACCCUAGGCGCUUAGUGGGCCAUUUUUGGUAAGCAGAACUGGCGCUGCGGGAUGAACCGAACGCCGAGUUAAGGCGCCGAAAUCGACGCGUAUACAGAGACCAUGAAAGGCGUUGGUUGCUGAUGACAGCAGGACGGUGGCCAUGGAAGUCGGAAUCCGCUAAGGAGUGUGUAACAACUCACCUGCCGAAGCAACUAGCUCUGAAAAUGGAUGGCGCUGGAGCGUCGUGCCUAUACUCGGGCCGUCGACGGCAUAGUGGGGCCAGUCGUCGCUCGCGGCGGGCCGGUCCCGGCAAGCCUCGACGAGUAGGAUGGCGCGGCGGUGUGCGUCGAAAGGGCAGGUCGCGAGACCGCCUGCAGCCGCCGUCGGUGCAGAUCUUGGUGGUAGUAGCAAAUACUCGAGAGGGGCCCUCGGGGGCUGCCG